RNAcentral lists this ribosomal RNA (388 nucleotides) under uncultured bacterium. Its description in RNAcentral is "bacterial SSU rRNA". It matches the Rfam family "Bacterial small subunit ribosomal RNA", at positions 552 to 939 of the family's 1533-position model. The record is from RNAcentral.
UAUUGGGCGUAAAGAGCUCGUAGGCGGUUUGUCGCGUCUGCUGUGAAAACCCGAGGCUCAACCUCGGGCCUGCAGUGGGUACGGGCAGACUAGAGUGCGGUAGGGGAGAUUGGAAUUCCUGGUGUAGCGGUGGAAUGCGCAGAUAUCAGGAGGAACACCGAUGGCGAAGGCAGAUCUCUGGGCCGUAACUGACGCUGAGGAGCGAAAGCAUGGGGAGCGAACAGGAUUAGAUACCCUGGUAAUCCACGCUGUAAACGAUGUCAACUGGGUGUCGGUAGCUUUACGCUAUCGGUGCCGAAGCAAACGCGUUAAGUUGACCGCCUGGGGACUACGGCCGCAAGGCUAAAACUCAAAGGAAUUGACGGGGGCCCGCACAAGCGGUAAUCGA